GAGUUUGAUCCUGGCUCAGAUUGAACGCUGGCGGCAUGCCUAACACAUGCAAGUCGAACGGCAGCACAGCAGAGCUUGCUCUGUGGGUGGCGAGUGGCGGACGGGUGAGUAAUGCAUCGGGACCUACCUGAACGUGGGGGAUAACGUAGGGAAACUUACGCUAAUACCGCAUACGUCCUACGGGAGAAAGCGGGGGACCUUCGGGCCUCGCGCGGUCAGACGGACCGAUGUUCGAUUAGCUAGUUGGUAAGGUAAUGGCUUACCAAGGCGACGAUCGAUAGCUGGUCUGAGAGGAUGAUCAGCCACACUGGAACUGAGACACGGUCCAGACUCCUACGGGAGGCAGCAGUGGGGAAUAUUGGACAAUGGGCGCAAGCCUGAUCCAGCAAUGCCGCGUGUGUGAAGAAGGCCUUCGGGUUGUAAAGCACUU
RNAcentral lists this ribosomal RNA (430 nucleotides) under uncultured Rhodanobacter sp. RNAcentral's name for it is "bacterial SSU rRNA". It matches the Rfam family "Bacterial small subunit ribosomal RNA", at positions 9 to 435 of the family's 1533-position model. The record is from RNAcentral. Lineage: Bacteria; Pseudomonadati; Pseudomonadota; Gammaproteobacteria; Lysobacterales; Rhodanobacteraceae.